This 335-nucleotide unclassified non-coding RNA is filed under the name soil metagenome. Its description in RNAcentral is "partial contains 5.8S ribosomal RNA, internal transcribed spacer 2, and large subunit ribosomal RNA". The stretch from base 1 to 120 matches the Rfam family "5.8S ribosomal RNA", at positions 35 to 154 of the family's 154-position model. The record is from RNAcentral.
GAUGAAGAACGUAGCGAAAUGCGAUAAGUAAUGUGAAUUGAAGAAUUCAGUGAAUCAUCGAAUCUUUGAACGCACAUUGCGCCCGCCAGUAUUCUGGCGGGCAUGCCUGUUCGAGCGUCAUUUCAACCAUCAAGCCCCCGGCUUGUGUUGGGGACCUGCGGCUGCCGCAGGCCCUGAAAACCAGUGGCGGGCUCGCUAGUCACUCCGAGCGUAGUAAUACAUCUCGCUCAGGGCGUGCUGCGGGUUCCGGCCGUUAAAAAGCCUUAUUUACCCAAGGUUGACCUCGGAUCAGGUAGGAAGACCCGCUGAACUUAAGCAUAUCAAUAAGCGGAGGA